RNAcentral lists this ribosomal RNA (263 nucleotides) under Paenibacillus jilunlii. RNAcentral's name for it is "16S rRNA. Bacterial SSU". It matches the Rfam family "Bacterial small subunit ribosomal RNA", at positions 1 to 246 of the family's 1533-position model. Lineage: Bacteria; Bacillati; Bacillota; Bacilli; Caryophanales; Paenibacillaceae. The record is from RNAcentral.
CCUAUUUGGAGAGUUUGAUCCUGGCUCAGGACGAACGCUGGCGGCGUGCCUAAUACAUGCAAGUCGAGCGGAGUCUUGUUGGAAGCUUGCUUCCAACCUGGCUUAGCGGCGGACGGGUGAGUAACACGUAGGCAACCUACCCUCUAGACUGGGAUAACUACCGGAAACGGUAGCUAAUACCGGAUAAUUCCUUGGCCCUCCUGGGCUUGGGAUGAAAGGCGGAGCAAUCUGCUGCUAGAGGAUGGGCCUGCGGCGCAUUAGCU